GCACAUGUAGCUCAGUGGUAGAGUGCUCGGUUGUCAGCCGAACGGUCGCGGGUUCAAUCCCCGUCAUGUGCGCCA
RNAcentral lists this transfer RNA (75 nucleotides) under Oxalobacteraceae bacterium. RNAcentral describes it as "tRNA-Asp". It matches the Rfam family "tRNA". Rfam says of the family: Transfer RNA (tRNA) molecules are approximately 80 nucleotides in length. Their secondary structure includes four short double-helical elements and three loops (D, anti-codon, and T loops). The record is from RNAcentral. Lineage: Bacteria; Pseudomonadati; Pseudomonadota; Betaproteobacteria; Burkholderiales; Oxalobacteraceae.